RNAcentral lists this ribosomal RNA (516 nucleotides) under Triticum aestivum (bread wheat). RNAcentral describes it as "partial small subunit ribosomal RNA". The record is from RNAcentral. Lineage: Eukaryota; Viridiplantae; Streptophyta; Magnoliopsida; Poales; Poaceae.
AUGUCGACGCUCAGAACUUUGAGAGCAAGACCUCAGAGAGGUUUCCCUCUGAUCUGUCUGACAUAUGAUUAUAUGGAGCAUAUGGUCAAAUUUUCGGGCCGGACUGUGGGUCUCAAAAGAUCUCAAGAGAAAGAGGACUAUUUUGAUAUUGAGUUUGAAACUCAAAGAGAGGCCAGCUAUGUGUUUUACGUUCUCAAUGGAAAGGUGCCACUCAUGGAGUUCAGUUGGGCUCCGAGGAACCUUACCAGCAAAAAACCACCAUCAGGAGUAGUGGAAGUUUCCUUCAUACCACCAACUUAUGACCUUGAUGCCUACAGCGAGACGCCGUCACUGCCAAUCCCCGCCAACCAGCCAUUCCCCACAGUGUGGAAAAUCCCAACACAGAAUGACCCACUGGCACAACCUGACCAACUUCCUGCAAUGCGGUAUCCCCCAAGCAGGGUUCAGAUGGACCAAGUGGACCCGCGCCCUCCAUACGAAGCACGCUUCUGGCCACAAGUCCUUCCGACAUACUAA